AGUGAACGCUGGCGGUAGGCCUAACACAUGCAAGUCGAACGGCAGCACAGUAAGAGCUUGCUCUUACGGGUGGCGAGUGGCGGACGGGUGAGGAAUACAUCGGAAUCUACUUUUUCGUGGGGGAUAACGUAGGGAAACUUACGCUAAUACCGCAUACGACCAACGGGUGAAAGCAGGGGAUCUUCGGACCUUGCGCGAUUGAAUGAGCCGAUGUCGGAUUAGCUAGUUGGCGGGGUAAAGGCCCACCAAGGCGACGAUCCGUAGCUGGUCUGAGAGGAUGAUCCGCCACACUGGAACUGAGACACGGUCCAGACUCCUACGGGAGGCAGCAGUGGGGAAUAUUGGACAAUGGGCGCAAGCCUGAUCCAGCCAUACCGCGUGGGUGAAGAAGGCCUUCGGGUUGUAAAGCCCUUUUGUUGGGAAAGAAAAGCAGCAGGUUAAUACCCCGCUGUUCUGACGGUACCCAAAGAAUAAGCACCGGCUAACUUCGUG
This 492-nucleotide ribosomal RNA is filed under the name uncultured bacterium. Its description in RNAcentral is "partial 16S ribosomal RNA". It matches the Rfam family "Bacterial small subunit ribosomal RNA", at positions 29 to 507 of the family's 1533-position model. The record is from RNAcentral.